RNAcentral lists this ribosomal RNA (743 nucleotides) under Paraphysomonas sp. Its description in RNAcentral is "eukaryotic LSU rRNA". It matches the Rfam family "Eukaryotic large subunit ribosomal RNA", at positions 113 to 887 of the family's 3401-position model. The record is from RNAcentral. Lineage: Eukaryota; Chrysophyceae; Chromulinales; Paraphysomonadaceae.
ACUGAAAAUCUUCGGAAUUGUAGUCUGUCGAAGUGAAAUCAUAAUAUACCAAUUUGAUCAAWUCUUUAAGAAAAUUGUACCAUGGAGGGUGAUAGUCCCGUUUAUAUCAAAUUGAUUCAAAUACGAUUACUUUCAAUGAGUCGAGUUGCUUGGGAUUGCAGCUCUAAGUGGGUGGUAAAUUCCAUCUAAAGCUAAAUAUUGGUGGGAGACCGAUAGCGAACAAGUACCGUGAGGGAAAGAUGCAAAGAACUUUGAAAAGAGAGUUAAAGAGUACCUGAAAUUGCUGAAAUGGAACCGAUGGGAAAUAGUGUUAAUAUAUAACUAUUUUAUAUAAUUUACAUGUAAAUUGUAUGUGAUAUUAUAUAUAAGUUAAACUUUCUUUUUAUAAGUAAGAAAAGUAUAUAAUAUCUGUUAUUUGAGAUUAUAUUUGGACUAUUAUUUAUAAAAGAGACUAUAACAAAAUAUUUCUUAUCAACCCGUCUUGAAACACGGACCAAGGAGUCUAACAUGUGUGCAAGUACUUUAGGUUAAAACCUAUUGUGCGUAAUUAAUGUGAAGAUUACUUUUAUUAGUAAUUAAGAUAAGAUUUUUUUUGUUUACAGAAAUUUUCAUUAUCGACCGACCAUAAUCCUAUGGGUGAAAGGUUUGAGUGUGAGCAUACAUGUUGGGACCCGAAAGAUGGUGAACUAUGCCUGAGUAGGAUGAAGCCAGGGGAAACUCUGGUGGAGGUCCGUAGCGAUUCU